Molecule: ribosomal RNA, 492 nt
Filed under: uncultured bacterium
Lineage: Bacteria
Description: partial 16S ribosomal RNA
Rfam family: Bacterial small subunit ribosomal RNA
Source: RNAcentral
AGUGAACGCUGGCGGUAGGCCUAACACAUGCAAGUCGAACGGCAGCACAGUAAGAGCUUGCUCUUACGGGUGGCGAGUGGCGGACGGGUGAGGAAUACAUCGGAAUCUACUUUUUCGUGGGGGAUAACGUAGGGAAACUUACGCUAAUACCGCAUACGACCUACGGGUGAAAGCAGGGGAUCUUCGGACCUUGCGCGAUUGAAUGAGCCGAUGUCGGAUUAGCUAGUUGGCGGGGUAAAGGCCCACCAAGGCGACGAUCCGUAGCUGGUCUGAGAGGAUGAUCAGCCCCACUGGAACUGAGACCCGGUCCAGACUCCUACGGGAGGCAGCAGGGGGGAAUAUUGGACAAUGGGCGCAAGCCUGAUCCAGCCAUACCGCGUGGGUGAAGAAGGCCUUCGGGUUGUAAAGCCCUUUUGUUGGGAAAGAAAAGCAGCAGGUUAAUACCCCGCUGUUCUGACGGUACCCAAAGAAUAAGCACCGGCUAACUUCGUG